UACGUAGGGCGCGAGCGUUGUCCGGAAUUAUUGGGCGUAAAGAGCUCGUAGGCGGCCAGUUGCGUCCGCUGUGAAAUCCCGGGGCUUAACCCCGGGCGUGCAGUGGAUACGGGCUGGCUGGAGGCAGGCAGGGGAGAACGGAAUUCCUGGUGUAGCGGUGAAAUGCGCAGAUAUCAGGAGGAACACCGGUGGCGAAGGCGGUUCUCUGGGCCUGUUCUGACGCUGAGGAGCGAAAGCGUGGGGAGCGAACAGG
RNAcentral lists this ribosomal RNA (253 nucleotides) under uncultured bacterium. RNAcentral's name for it is "partial 16S ribosomal RNA". It matches the Rfam family "Bacterial small subunit ribosomal RNA", at positions 524 to 776 of the family's 1533-position model. The record is from RNAcentral.